GAUGAAGAACGUAGUGAAAUGCGAUAAGUAAUGUGAAUUGCAGAAUUCAGUGAAUCAUCGAAUCUUUGAACGCACAUUGCGCCCAUUAGUAUUCUAGUGGGCAUGCCUGUUCGAGCGUCAUUUCAACCCUUAAGCCUAGCUUAGUAUUGGGAAUCGACUUUACUGUCGUUCCUCAAUUCAACGGCGGAUUUAUAGCAAUCUCUGAACGUAGUAAUUUUUUUUCUCGUUUUUGAAAUACUAUAAACCUCAGCCGCUAAACCCCCAAUUUCUUAUGGUUGACCUCGGAUCAGGUAGGAAUACCCGCUGAACUUAAGCAUAUCAAUAAGCGGAGGA
RNAcentral lists this unclassified non-coding RNA (333 nucleotides) under soil metagenome. RNAcentral's name for it is "partial contains 5.8S ribosomal RNA, internal transcribed spacer 2, and large subunit ribosomal RNA". The stretch from base 1 to 120 matches the Rfam family "5.8S ribosomal RNA", at positions 35 to 154 of the family's 154-position model. The record is from RNAcentral.